RNAcentral lists this ribosomal RNA (79 nucleotides) under Gammaproteobacteria bacterium. RNAcentral describes it as "partial 16S ribosomal RNA". It matches the Rfam family "Bacterial small subunit ribosomal RNA", at positions 1 to 77 of the family's 1533-position model. Lineage: Bacteria; Pseudomonadati; Pseudomonadota; Gammaproteobacteria. The record is from RNAcentral.
UUGAACUGGAGAGUUUGAUCCUGGCUCAGAUUGAACGCUGGCGGUAUGCCUAACACAUGCAAGUCGAACGGAAACGAUA